Lutra lutra (Eurasian river otter) is the source of this 442-nucleotide long non-coding RNA. RefSeq lists it as uncharacterized. The transcript is spliced from 3 exons. The record is from RefSeq and is a predicted model, not a curated record. NCBI's taxonomy places the organism in Eukaryota, Metazoa, Chordata, Mammalia, Carnivora, Mustelidae.
AAUUAGGUCAGUAAAGGAGGGUGGGGCAAGGAGCCCUCAUUAACAUAUCGAUGUUUUCAUUGGCCGGUGAAACUUCGCUCUGCGCCGGCGCGCUGGAGGAGGAGAAGGUCUGGCUCUACUCUGACUGGAAAGCUUCUUCCUCUUCUGUCCUGCGUUGUUUUUUCCCGGGCGCGUUUGCAGGUACAAUGUGUUCUUUUUUAUCAGGUAAAGCCGCUGAGCAAAGAGAACCACUCAACGUUUCAUUUUAUUUCCACUUAAUAACUAAGUGAAACUGGCUUCAGAGAACCCAGUUCAUUCAACAUGUGAGCAGAGAGCAGGUAGGAAAUGACUGCAUUACUUCAAGCCUGACACACCAGAGAGGCACUAGGAAUGCUUUAAUGUAAAUCGUGAGUCUGUGUGGAUCUGUGACAACUUGCUGCCAAAUAGAAAAAGAUACCCUCUU